GUAACUAUUAAAGUUUUCAGACGCUAAUUGCAAUUACAAAAGGUUUUGAGGUGUCCAACCGGCGGGCAAGCCCGCCGAGGAAACAUGAGUACGCAAAAGACACGGAUUCAGAUGGAGCUAUAGAGACUAUAGACCCCACUAAAAAGUAAUGAUCCUUCCGCAGGUUCACCUACGGAAA
This 178-nucleotide unclassified non-coding RNA is filed under the name uncultured fungus. RNAcentral's name for it is "sequence contains ITS1". The record is from RNAcentral. Lineage: Eukaryota; Fungi.